Long non-coding RNA from Arvicola amphibius (Eurasian water vole), 499 nucleotides. RefSeq lists it as uncharacterized. The record is from RefSeq and is a predicted model, not a curated record. NCBI's taxonomy places the organism in Eukaryota, Metazoa, Chordata, Mammalia, Rodentia, Cricetidae. The transcript has 5 exons.
CCGACGCCAUGGCGUCUAUACUUGUACCUUGCGGCUGGGUCUGGCGCCUGGGCCUAGCAGAAUGGAGCCGGUGCGAUGCUGAGCCGGCGGCCCGGCCUUCCAGCCCCCCGUGGGCGCCGCGCACACCUGAGGGAGCCGGACCGGGAAUGGACAGGAUGUGGAACAGGAGGCGCAGGAUCCCACCCUGAGGCAGGAAAUUUGGAGUGGAAGACUGCCCGCAGCCGUGGCCUCCCAUGAGGAGUGUCCCUUUCUCGAAUUUGGAGGACCGAGUGCUGGAAUGCAGUUUGUUGGCAGCAGUGGUGAAGGAGGCCAUCACCAGAGGAGUGCCCAUCAACAGUACUGCCAUCAACUCAAGAUUCUGACUGAAAGCCACCUCUUUUAUGGAAAAAGCUCCCCAAGUAUGUGUUUGCUGACCUUGUCCUGGUCAGGCACCUCUGAUAGCAUUCUGCCGCCACAGGACAUUUACACUACUACUUAAUAAAUUUGUUUCCAAAAUGAU